GUUGUAUGUGGUUAUAUUUCUGCAUAUUUUUGUGGAAUUUUCUUAUAAUAUCGUUUAUUUGUUUAAUAUUUGUUGAGUUUUUAAGCAUAUAAGGACUAUAUUACUAUAAUUACUUAUUUGGGUCCUAUACAAAGGCAGUAAUGACUUGUGAAGUGUGUUUUCGUAACCGUGUAAGAUGAGUGGUGGUAACAUUUGUAGCAUAGCUAUAUGUAAAAGCAACUCCAAAAUUCCUGAACCAGAUGGAAACAAAAUAAUGUUUUUGGACAUUUCCCAAAUACCUUAAAUUAUCAAACAAUAAUGGAUAAUAAAAUGUUACAAGAUAAAUGGGCCUCUGAACAUAAGAAAAUAGGUAGCAAACAUUUCCUCGUGUCUGAAUAUGUUAAUAUUAUGUUACGUCUUUUUUAUAUUUUAACCUAAUAAUAAAUUAUUUAUAUUAUUCGUUCUUUUGUUGUUGCAUACCACCAAAAAUGAUAAAAGUGCUGCACAUUCCACGAAAAACAUAAUAAGUAAGUACCUACAUAUUAGUAUUUUUGAUUUUAAACUUUUUCUUCUAUUUUUUUGGAUUUUUGUGCUAAUUAAAUUGUUUUCUCCAUUUAAAACACACAUAAUAAGUGUUAAAUGAAUUCUAGUUUUUUGUUAGCAGACUAUUGAUUUUUAAGGGAAAAAUUGAUAUAAUUACCAAUAUAAGAACCACUUAAAUAUACCUAUACCCAAGAAAAUCUCAAAAUAUAUUGCAAAACCUAAGUUUUUGAACCUUUUAUUAGCAUUGACUCUUAUGACAAUUUUAAAAUUGUCGUACGGAUGACGUAUUCCCGCCUUUAAAAAGCCAGCCUUUGAUUGGUCUACAGUUAUGAGACAACCUACGCCCUAAUCUAUUAACCUUGAGCCCUAUAGGGCUUUUCAUUCACAGUCACAGUCAUUUGUUUCGAGCUUCUGUCAUGUGUCACAUAAUAUUAAUAUAUCUACGUCAUACGUUAGUUAUUGGUAUUUUACUUAGACCCGUUUGCCAUUAUACUAAUUUCAGUACUAAAAAUAUUGGUUAGUUGCGCGAGUCGAUUUAGGCCCGGUCUUUUCACCUCCGAAUAAAUAUGCUCUUAUCUGGCAGUUAGCUAUCUGGAGUAUAAAUAUUUAUUCGCCAGAUAAAAUGUACCCGUCUUUUCACGUCAAUUUAUGUUCCAGUUAGUUAUCCGGUAGAUAAGCUUAAAAGUAAGUUUGGAUUCCGAACACACCUGACUUUUAUGUUUAUUUUUAUAAUUUCAGCUUUAACUUAACCUAACAUAAUUAGAUUCGAAGUAUUUCAAAGAUGAUUUUAUCGAUUUUAUUUCCAUUUUGGAAGAAGGAAUGAAGGAAAUAAGGAAAACAUUGAUUAUGCUGAAAUAGUUUACUGGAGAGCUUGAACAAGAGGUAAAUCCAUUUUAAAUUAGAGGAAAACUGUUGAUUUGUAUGUAAAAUAGAAGACAAAGACAAGUUUAAAUAAAGACAAGCUAGCUAAUGAAACAGAUGCAGUGAUAUGACAAACACCUAGAAGAUGGAAUCCUGUGUUCUCAAAGAAAAAGCUAGUUCCAGAAAUAAGCUACCAAUAAUAAACUAGAGAAUGUAUUACAAGAAAGAACAACGCUAAUACCCAACAUAGCUCAAUUGCUUCAGAUAGAAAAAGAGGAGGAAAGGGUAGAACACAAGCGUGCCAGAGAAAAUUAAAGGGCAGAAGAGACACAAAAAUUCAUUGAUUUAUUAAAUUUAAUAAUUAAAUUAUACAAAGGACAAUUAAAUAAAGAAUAAAAAAUUA
Diabrotica virgifera virgifera (western corn rootworm) is the source of this 1786-nucleotide long non-coding RNA. RefSeq lists it as uncharacterized. The record is from RefSeq and is a predicted model, not a curated record. Lineage: Eukaryota; Metazoa; Arthropoda; Insecta; Coleoptera; Chrysomelidae. The transcript has 4 exons.